Molecule: long non-coding RNA, 662 nt
Filed under: Hordeum vulgare
Lineage: Eukaryota; Viridiplantae; Streptophyta; Magnoliopsida; Poales; Poaceae
Description: long non-coding RNA (HVUL_LNC004502)
Source: RNAcentral
CCUGCUUUGGUAGAUUGCCUCUCGGGGAGGUUGGUGGAUGAACUAGUACAGUGCUCUCGAGCCUCCGAAGGCUGGUUGGCUUUUUGUGUUGCUCCAGGCUGAGAAUGAACUGAUCUCUCUACAAAAUAUCCUACCCUCUCUAUUUAUAGUGGAGGCCCGGGUCCUCUUCCCUCAUUGUUUUGGCGGGAAGGGAUCCCACAACGGCCAAUUUUGAAGGGGGACAAAGGAACAUGCUUCCCCUGUCAAAAGUGGUCUUCGCCUGCAAUGUAGGUGCCUGUGCUGCUAGGGUGGGCGCAGCGAUGACGUCCGUCCUGCCGGCGGGCGGCCAUGGUCUUGUUGCACCAAAAGGGAAACCUUUAGGAGAUGCCUUGGGAAACACCGUUCGCUUUUGCCCUCUUUGCACCAAAGGGGAAAUUGGAUCCUCUGCUGCCUGUUGCUCGCCUGUCCUCCCUCUACGUCAUCCUUGACUCCUGAGGUUGGGCCCCACCUCGGAAUAUCCGCCGCUCCGGAGGGGUCCUGAGGAGGCUCUCUCCGGGUCUUGAUGUCGCUCCUCCAUGCGAGGCUUGGCCCCAGGCGAGGGCCUUGUACUAGGUGGUGUCAUGCCAGUUGAUGUUAUGUUGAUGAAGCGGGCCAGCCAUGGGCCGCAGGCAGGCAGGUCUAGG